GGGGUUGUGACUCAGUGGUAGAGCACUUGCCUCACACGUGUGAGGCACUGGGUUCAAUUCCCAGAACCACA
Molecule: transfer RNA, 71 nt
Filed under: Ictidomys tridecemlineatus (thirteen-lined ground squirrel)
Lineage: Eukaryota; Metazoa; Chordata; Mammalia; Rodentia; Sciuridae
Description: Spermophilus tridecemlineatus (thirteen-lined ground squirrel) tRNA
Rfam family: tRNA
About the family: Transfer RNA (tRNA) molecules are approximately 80 nucleotides in length. Their secondary structure includes four short double-helical elements and three loops (D, anti-codon, and T loops).
Source: Rfam by way of RNAcentral